This 497-nucleotide ribosomal RNA is filed under the name uncultured bacterium. Its description in RNAcentral is "partial 16S ribosomal RNA". It matches the Rfam family "Bacterial small subunit ribosomal RNA", at positions 28 to 507 of the family's 1533-position model. The record is from RNAcentral.
GAUGAACGCUGGCGGCGUGCCUAAUACAUGCAAGUCGAGCGAACGGACGAGAAGCUUGCUUCUCUUAUGUUAGCGGCGGACGAGUGAGUAACACGUGGAUAACCUAUCUAUAAGACUGGGAUAACUUCGGGAAACCGGAUCUAAUACCGGAUAUUAUUUUGAACCGCAUGGUUCAUAAGUGAAAGACGGUCUUGAUGUCACUUAUAGAUGUAUCCGCGCUGCAUUAGCUAGUUGGUAAGGUAACGGCUUACCAAGGCAACGAUGCAUAGCCGACCUGAGAGGGUGAUCGGCCACACUGGAACUGAGACACGGUCCAGACUCCUACGGGAGGCAGCAGUAGGGAAUCUUCCGCAAUGGGCGAAAGCCUGACGGAGCAACGCCGCGUGAGUGAUGAAGGUCUUCGGAUCGUAAAACUCUGUUAUUAGGGAAGAACAUAUGUGUAAGUAACUGUGCACAUCUUGACGGUACCUAAUCAGAAAGCCACGGCUAACUACGUG